CCUACGGGUGGCAUCAGUGAGGAAUAUUGGUCAAUGGGCGUAAGCCUGAACCAGCCAAGUCGCGUGAGGGAUGAAGGUUCUAUGGAUCGUAAACCUCUUUUAUAAGGGAAUAAAGUGUGGGACGUGUCCUGUUUUGUAUGUACCUUAUGAAUAAGGAUCGGCUAACUCCGUGCCAGCAGCCGCGGUAAUACGGAGGAUCCGAGCGUUAUCCGGAUUUAUUGGGUUUAAAGGGUGCGUAGGCGGCCGUUUAAGUCAGCUGUGAAAGUCUGUGGCUCAACCAUGGAAUUGCCGUUGAAACUGGGAGGAUUGAGUAUGUUUGAGGCAGGCGGAAGGCGUGGUGUAGCGGUGAAAUGCUUAGAUAUCACGCAGAACCCCGAUUGCGAAGGCAGCCGGCCAAGCCAUGACUGACGCUGAUGCACGAAAGCGUGGGGAUCAAACAGGAUUAGAUACCCCUGUAGUC
This 460-nucleotide ribosomal RNA is filed under the name uncultured bacterium. Its description in RNAcentral is "partial 16S ribosomal RNA". It matches the Rfam family "Bacterial small subunit ribosomal RNA", at positions 338 to 795 of the family's 1533-position model. The record is from RNAcentral.